AUUAGUCAGCAUCAAAUCUGCAGAUGGCGUCCACCUAACUACUAUAGUCAAAAAGAGCCUGGAAUGACAGUUUUCCCUGAUGGCCACCAUUCUAUUUGCUCUAAUUGAUCUGCAACAUUUCAGGAAAUGACAACU
Molecule: small nucleolar RNA, 135 nt
Filed under: Dasypus novemcinctus (nine-banded armadillo)
Lineage: Eukaryota; Metazoa; Chordata; Mammalia; Cingulata; Dasypodidae
Source: RNAcentral